GAUGAACGCUGGCGGCGUGCCUAAUACAUGCAAGUCGAGCGAACGGACGAGAAGCUUGCUUUUCUGAUGUUAGCGGCGGACGGGUGAGUAACACGUGGAUAACCUACCUAUAAGACUGGGAUAACUUCGGGAAACCGGAGCUAAUACCGGAUAAUAUUUUGAACCGCAUGGUUCAAAAGUGAAAGACGGUCUUGCUGUCACUUAUAGAUGGAUCCGCGCUGCAUUAGCUAGUUGGUAAGGUAACGGCUUACCAAGGCAACGAUGCAUAGCCGACCUGAGAGGGUGAACGGCCACACGGGAACUGAGACACGGUCCAGACUCCUACGGGAGGCAGCAGUAGGGAAUCUUCCGCAAAGGGCGAAAGCCUGACGGAGCAACGCCGCGUGAGUGAUGAAGGUCUUCGGAUCGUAAAACUCUGUUAUUAGGGAAGAACAUAUGUGUAAGUAACUGUGCACAUCUUGACGGUACCUAAUCAGAAAGCCACGGCUAACUACGUG
RNAcentral lists this ribosomal RNA (497 nucleotides) under uncultured bacterium. RNAcentral's name for it is "partial 16S ribosomal RNA". It matches the Rfam family "Bacterial small subunit ribosomal RNA", at positions 28 to 507 of the family's 1533-position model. The record is from RNAcentral.